Molecule: ribosomal RNA, 424 nt
Filed under: Verrucomicrobiota bacterium
Lineage: Bacteria; Pseudomonadati; Verrucomicrobiota
Description: Verrucomicrobia bacterium partial 16S ribosomal RNA
Rfam family: Bacterial small subunit ribosomal RNA
Source: RNAcentral
UGAGGAAUAUUGGUCAAUGGACGAGAGUCUGAACCAGCCAAGUAGCGUGCAGGAUGACGGCCCUAUGGGUUGUAAACUGCUUUUGUUUGGGAAUAAUCGACAUUACGUGUAAUGUUUUGCAUGUACCAUUCGAAUAAGGACCGGCUAAUUCCGUGCCAGCAGCCGCGGUAAUACGGAAGGUCCAGGCGUUAUCCGGAUUUAUUGGGUUUAAAGGGAGUGUAGGCGGUUGGUUAAGCGUGUUGUGAAAUGUAGAUGCUCAACAUCUGACUUGCAGCGCGAACUGGCUGACUUUAGUACACACAACGUAGGCGGACUUCAUGGUGUAGCGGUGAAAUGCUUAGAUAUCAUGAAGAACUCCGAUUGCGAAGGCAGCUUACGGGAGUGUUACUGACGCUUAAGCUCGAAGGUGCGGGUAUCGAACAGG